AUUUAUAUAUAUGGCAAAGCUUAAAGCUCUAUUCGGAUUAAUCACAUCUGGGUAUCUCUUCAAUUCGUGAUGAACAAAUGAAUUUUCAAGGGUAUGCAACGUGACGAUGGGAUUGAGAUGGGUGACCUAUUCAACAUUGUUGGGUCACUCCGUUUAGACAAGUGGCAGGGUCGGGUGCCCGGGUCGCUGCCGACCCGGUGUGAUACGGUGUCUAUUUGUGCCAACACGUUUCUAUAGUUGAAUCAUCUUGAUAUAAACCCUACCCGUCUGGGUCUGGUCUGGUUCUUACUUUCGUCACAGACUCUAUUAAUUCUGUCACAGGUUAAUAUGAGUUUUUCAAUUGCUGGAAAAGAGGGCAGAACUUGACAUAAUAAAGUUGACUUUUGUACGAUGAGCCUAUGAGUUUUUCAUAUAUUUAUUUUGUUGAUAUGCUGGAUUCUCUUAUGAGCGAUAAAGGAAACUUCUCUAAGGUUCGUUUUUAGGAUGCAUUGAAUAUAGUAGGAUGUUUUACUUCAUACUUCAUAGGAUUAUAAGGAUGCACUGCAAGAGGUGAGACGUUUUGCCUGGGAUGAGAGUAUGAUACCUUCUGUUCUCUUGAUGAAUCUCACACAUGCAAAUUGUAGUAAUCAGUUUUGCUUGACAUCCACUACCAAUUUAUCUGCAAAAUUCACAGAAGAAAUGGCUUCAUCCCGAGAUUCAGCCAUCCAUAUGGCACUUGGCUUGGAGGGCGUUGCGUGCUCUAAGAGGGCUCAGGCGUUGCGUACUCAAGGUCAAACAGUUAAAUGUAAAGCAACCUCCACCUUGAAAUGUAUGCAGACAUUGGCUUGUGCACUGUCUCAGGUUUAGUCGAGGUGUGCUUUCGUAUGUCCGAGGAUAACAUAGUUGUCUAAGAACUCUUUUGAAGGUUAAUAAAGAGCUCAACAACAUUACAUGGGACCGAGCGACCGAGCGAUAUAUUACAAAAGACACCUCAUUAUAUGAGCAAGUUUGUGUUAUACCAGACAUAAUUGCUCACUUUGAUUGAGCUGACACUGACAUGCGGAGGAUGAAAUAGAGAAAUAUCAUGAAACUCAUGAUUGCUGGGGUGCGGAUGAAGCGUUCAACCAUAUUUUUCAGGGGUGCGGUCGGAUUUUUUUUCCUAAAAUAUACAUUAGUUUUUUUUUUCAAGUGGUAUCCCUGUCCACCCACGACUAUGGAUAAGUCCGCCAUGCAUCCCAUAUUCCUUAACAAUGUUGAAAUUUUACUAAAAAUGGUUCAUGUGUCGAUGCUUC
This is a long non-coding RNA of Helianthus annuus (common sunflower), 1271 nucleotides long. RefSeq lists it as uncharacterized. The transcript is spliced from 4 exons. Lineage: Eukaryota; Viridiplantae; Streptophyta; Magnoliopsida; Asterales; Asteraceae. The record is from RefSeq and is a predicted model, not a curated record.